AUUACAAAUUGCCGCACAUUAGGAAACCCCAAUUAAGGAGAGAUGGAGUUCUUCCCUCUCAACUUGAAUGUGGCCGAGAUGUUGUGGAGAAUGUACUGAUUCAUUUACAGAAUCAAGUUUAAAUCAAGGGCAAAUCACGCAAGACUUUUCAAGUUUUUUUGGAUGAAGUUCUUCAAUCAACCAAGUUAUUUGAAGAGAUUGUUAGAUUGAAGAACUUGUUUUUGUGAAUUUGUAGAAGGUUAGGUGUCAACCAAUGCACAUCAGUGAACAUGUUUUUGUGAAUUUGUAGAAGGUUUGCUGUAAGUGGGAAAGUUUAGUGCACACUGAAGGACUUGGAUUUUUGAAUUUUUUGAAGAAGCGUUUUGGAAAUUUGUGAAGGUUUAGUGUAAAUGGGAAAGAUCCUCUGUGGAAGAAAAGAACUGGAUGGUUGUUUGGUGUUUGAUCUCAAUGUAAAUCUCAUUUUGGGUGUUCCAGUGCAUAUUCUAUUAUUCCGUACCAGUAGUACUCAUUUUGUAAAAUUUUCCUCUUUUUUUGUGUUAGUAGUAAUGAUUGAAAAAUGGAAGGGUAAAAUUGGAAAUUUGUUAAUCAUUACCCAUCUAGUUUAGAAGUGGGACAAUUAUUUUGGGACGGCAAAAAGUGCAAACUGGGACAAUUAAAUUUGGACGGAGGGAGUAC
This is a long non-coding RNA of Rhododendron vialii, 675 nucleotides long. RefSeq lists it as uncharacterized. The record is from RefSeq and is a predicted model, not a curated record. NCBI's taxonomy places the organism in Eukaryota, Viridiplantae, Streptophyta, Magnoliopsida, Ericales, Ericaceae. The transcript is spliced from 3 exons.